Molecule: long non-coding RNA, 210 nt
Organism: Condylura cristata (star-nosed mole)
Lineage: Eukaryota; Metazoa; Chordata; Mammalia; Eulipotyphla; Talpidae
Exons: 2
Source: RefSeq, a predicted model, not a curated record
GGGAAAGGCGCCUGUGUGCUCGGACGCGCCCGGCGCGGCCCAGCCCGUACCAGGCGGCCCCCCCCUGACCUACAGUAAGCCCCCGGGCUCGGCCUGGGGUUGGAUUUGCAGUAACAGGUGCGCGGCGGGAAGAGCUGUGUGUGCACGGAACGAAAAUCUGGUUUGGUACAAAGUGAAGAAUGAUGUAAAAAUAAAUUUUUUUUAAAUCUG